This is a long non-coding RNA of Saccostrea cuccullata (small rock oyster), 531 nucleotides long. RefSeq lists it as uncharacterized. The record is from RefSeq and is a predicted model, not a curated record. The transcript is spliced from 3 exons. Lineage: Eukaryota; Metazoa; Mollusca; Bivalvia; Ostreida; Ostreidae.
GACCUUCCAAACAAGACAUAUCAGAGGAGAUAAAUGACACUGAUCAGCUCCACUGGUCAGAGAUAAAAAAAGCUUAUGAUAGUAAACAAGGACAUGGCAUGGUGGAAACAGCUGGAGGAGGCAGAGCCAAUGAAUGCUAAUCUUUCAAGAUGUGGAAAUAGCAGAUGUCCUCAAUAAGACAUGUAACAGCAGAUGUACCCAACUGGACACUGAUUGAUAGAAACAACUGGAUGAUGCGUAGCCAGUACAUGCUGAUCUACCAAGAUGUGGAAACAGCUAAUGCACCCAACAAUACAUUGUGAAAACAGUAGAUGAACCCAAAAGAACCUGAUAGAAACAACUGGAGGAUGAAUAGCCAAAGGAUGCUGAUCUGACAUUUAUCAGCUGCAGCCAACAUGUAGAACUUUGUGGAAACACCGGAAUAGACAUGCAAGCUUGUUGAACCUCUUUUAAGAUGGGAAAACAGCAAAUAUAUAUACCUCCAAAAGGACUUACUGAAAUAAAUCUUGAGGAGGCAAGGCCAUUAUGAAU